Molecule: ribosomal RNA, 454 nt
Filed under: uncultured bacterium
Lineage: Bacteria
Description: bacterial SSU rRNA
Rfam family: Bacterial small subunit ribosomal RNA
Source: RNAcentral
UACGGGAGGCAGCAGGGGGGAAUAUUGCACAAUGGGCGCAAGCCUGAUGCAGCCAUGCCGCGUGUAUGAAGAAGGCCUUCGGGUUGUAAAGUACUUUCAGUCGUGAGGAAGGUGUUAAGGUUAAUAACCUUAGCAAUUGACGUUAGCGACAGAAGAAGCACCGGCUAACUCCGUGCCAGCAGCCGCGGUAAUACGGAGGGUGCGAGCGUUAAUCGGAAUUACUGGGCGUAAAGGGCACGCAGGCGGUUAAUUAAGUUGGAUGUGAAAUCCCCGGGCUUAACCUGGGAAUGGCAUUCAAGACUGGUUAGCUAGAGUCUUGUAGAGGGGGUAGAAUUCCAUGUGUAGCGGUGAAAUGCGUAGAGAUGUGGAGGAAUACCGGUGGCGAAGGCGGCCCCGUGGACAAAGACUGACGCUCAUGUGCGAAAGCGUGGGGAGCAAACAGGGAUUAGAUACC